AGAGUUUGAUCCUGGCUCAGGAUUAACGUUGGUAGUAUGCCUAACACAUGCAAGUCGAGCGGAGAGUAGUAGCAAUACUGCUUUUAGCGGCGAACGGGUGAGUAAUGCUUAUCUUACUUGCCAAUUAGUGGGGGAUAACCACGGGAAACCGUGGCUAAUACCGCAUUUGUUACUUCGGUAAUAAAAGGAAGUCGUAAGAUUUUCGCUAAUUGAGAGGGAUAAGUCGUAUUAGUUAGUUGGUAGGGUAAUGGCCUACCAAGACAAUGAUGCGUAGCCGGCCUGAGAGGGUGAACGGCCACAAGGGAACUGAGACACGGUCCCUACUCCUACGGGAGGCAGAAGUGGGGAAUUUAUGGCAAUGGACGAAAGUCUGACCAAGCAAUACUACGUGAAGGAGGAAGGUCUAUGGAUUGUAAACUUCUUUACUAGAGGGUACUGCCGCAAGGUUUGCCCUUUAGCAAAAAGUCACGACUAACUAUGUGCCAGCAGUCGCGGUAAGACAUAGGUGGCGAACGUUAUCCGGAAUUAUUGGGCGUAAAGGGUGCGUAGAUGGUUUGAAAAGUUAGCGGUGGGAAAUCGAGGCUCAACCUCGUGGAAGUCGUUAAUACUAUCAGACUAGAGUGCAGGAGAGGUUAACGGAACUCAAUGUGGAGCGGUAAAAUGCGUAGAUAUAUUGAAGAACACCAAUAACGGCGAAGGCAGUUAACUAUUCUGUUACUGACGUUGAGGCACGAAAGCGUGGGGAGCAAAAAGGAUUAGAUACCCUUGUAGUCCACGCCCUAAACGAUGAGUGCUAGGUAUUGGAAACUUGAUUUUCAGUGUCGCUAGGUAACCCGGUAAGCACUCCGCCUGGGUAGUACGCUCGCAAGAGUGAAACUCAAAGGAAUUGACGGGGACUCGCACAAGCAGUGGAGCAUGUGGUUUAAUCCGAUACAACGCGUAGAACCUUACCAAGGCUUGACAUGUAAGGUAGCAAUACUAAACUAGGGAAACCUAGUUGAAUUACACAGGUGCUGCAUGGCCGUCGUCAGUUCGUGCCGUGAGUGUAUGGUUAAGUCCUAUAACGAACGCAACCCUUGUACUUAGUUACCAGCAUUUAGUUGGGGACUCUAAGUAGGCUGCAAGGUGUGCUUAGCAUGCCUGAACUGAGUAAUCAGGAGGAAGGAAAGGAUGACGUCUGGUCGUCAUGGCCCUUAUGCCUUGGGCGACACACGUGCUACAAUGGUUAGGACAAAGGGUCGCCAACCCGUGAGGGGGAGCCAAUCCCAAAAAACUAACCUCAGUUCGGAUUGGAGGCUGCAACUCGCCUCCAUGAAGUCGGAAUUGCUAGUAAUCGCAAAUCAGCCAUGUUGCGGUGAAUACGUUCUCGAGUCUUGUACACACCGCCCGUCAAGUCACGAAAGUCGGUAAUGCCUGAAACCAACUGACUAACCGCAAGGAAGCAGUUGACUAGGGUAGGAUUGGCAAUUGGGGCUAAGUCGUAACAAGGUA
Molecule: ribosomal RNA, 1491 nt
Filed under: metagenome
Description: bacterial SSU rRNA
Rfam family: Bacterial small subunit ribosomal RNA
Source: RNAcentral